UGGCGCCUUAUCUCUCGGCAGGCAGAGGCUGGGAUAAAGUUAUACUGAAAACUUUAAAAUUGAUAGCACACCCUAAUUUGUGUUCCAUUGGGAGGGGGAGAAAAAGAGAGCCAACAACACACAGGGCUCUGCUUACACCAUGAGAAGGGGAGCUCUUGGCUGCAUUGUGGGCUCUCCCAACAUUCAGCUGGGGAUUUCUUGCUGUGUCUUAGCUCUUGCCGGAGGUCAUGCAAAUCGACCUUAAAAGAAUGCAUAAGCCAUAAAUUUAAAUAAACCCCGUAGCCACGGGCUGAUCCAUAACUAGACGAUACCUAACCUGGACAAAACGGCUUCCUUUGAGAGCGGGAAGAAAAGAAUAGUGCCUAAAGUAAACGCAAAGUCAGUUUCAUGAAUUCAAAGGAAACUUACCAGUGAUUUCUGGGUCCCAGGGUUGGUUUUCUUGUGUUUUUAUGGAAGAGAUCAUAGUUCUAAACAUCUAAAAAGAGUAACGUUUUGCAGUGUCAUAUAGUACAGACUAGUAGGCUGGACAAUUUAACAACAUUCCAUGAAACCGCAAGAAUAAAACUUGUGUACAGAUUACAUUUAUGAGCUGGAAGAAGAAAAUAACCUGACUGCCUAACAAGUAUGAGCUAUUUCUGAGUCUUUUUUCAUGCAAGAAUUUAUUUUGACUUCUUUAAUUUAUAAACUGUAAUGAGGCAAUCAGAUGAUGUAUGGACUGUUUUAGACUAAACAAUAUAUUUUUAAUGAAAUGAAGGAAGGUAGAAGUUGGAGUGCUUGAAAUCCUACAAGAGAGCCACAGUGACCCAAUGAAGAGAAUGCUUCAUUCAGACUUCAGAGAACUAGGGAAGAAACAGAUUAACAUUAGUUAAAAAUACUGCAUCUAGGAUUUGUAUUUAUUGAUGUAGUGGCUCUUUUCUUGCAAAGUUCACCAUCCCAGGUGCAGGUGCCUAAAUCUGGAUCCUACCUACUUACUACUAGAAGGCAAUCCAUCUUCAGUCGAGAACUGUAACUGCACCUUGUCUUGUACCAUGUGGUCACAUGAUGAUCAUUCCAGUCCCCAAAAAAGAUACUGAGAAGUGUAGUAAGUAUAGGACCAUCAUGCUAAUUUAUGAUGAUGGUGAUGAUGAUGAUUAAUUAGAUUUAUACCCACCUUUUUUCUUGCAACAAACUCAAAAGUGGCUUACCUCAUUCUCCUCCAGCUGCUCUCAGUCUUAUCCCCACAAAAAGUUCCUUUGGAAGCAAAGUGGUGCUCUGUGUGCUGCAACAAAGAUGUAAAAGUGGAACAAGAACUUAUGUGGAACGAGAAAUGGCUGACAUUCAAGUUGGAUUCUGGUCUUCUGCUCAAAUAUAUGGCCUUCUGGUCAAAUAUAUGAUUCUGUUCUGGUUAAAUAUAU
Varanus komodoensis (Komodo dragon) is the source of this 1394-nucleotide long non-coding RNA. RefSeq lists it as uncharacterized. Lineage: Eukaryota; Metazoa; Chordata; Lepidosauria; Squamata; Varanidae. The transcript is spliced from 3 exons. The record is from RefSeq and is a predicted model, not a curated record.